RNAcentral lists this ribosomal RNA (406 nucleotides) under uncultured bacterium. Its description in RNAcentral is "partial 16S ribosomal RNA". It matches the Rfam family "Bacterial small subunit ribosomal RNA", at positions 30 to 526 of the family's 1533-position model. The record is from RNAcentral.
AUUGAACGCUGGCGGCAGGCCUAACACAUGCAAGUCGAACGAGUGGCGGACGGGUGAGUAAUGUCUGGGAAACUGCCUGAUGGAGGGGGAUAACUAAUGGAAAAGGUAACUAAUACCGCAUACCAUCGGAUGUGCCCAGAUGGGAUUAGCUAGCAGGUGGGGUAAAGGCUCACCUAGGCGACGAUCCCUAGCUGGUCUGAGAGGAUGACCAGCCACACGGGAACUGAGACACGGUCCAGACUCCUACGGUAGGCAGCAGUGGGGAAUAUUGCACAAUGGGCGCAAGCCUGAUGCAGCCAUGCCGCGGGUAUGAAGAAGGCCUUCGGGUUGUAAAGAACUUUCAGCGGAGAGGCGUUACCAACAGAAUAAGCACCGGCUAACUUCGUGCCAGCAGCCGCGGUAAUAC